This 546-nucleotide long non-coding RNA is filed under the name Pan troglodytes (chimpanzee). RNAcentral's name for it is "lincRNA". The record is from RNAcentral. Lineage: Eukaryota; Metazoa; Chordata; Mammalia; Primates; Hominidae.
AGCAAUCAGCGAGAUUCCGUGGGCGUAGGACCCUCUGAGCCAGGUGUGGGAUAUAAUCUCGUGGUGCGCCGUUUUUUAAGCCAGUCCGAAAAGCGCAAUAUUCGGGUGGGAGUGACCCGAUUUUCCAGGAGAGACAAAUACCAAGGAGAUAUCAGGAAGAAUAUUGUCCCCGGUAAAUACCAAGUCACAUCAGGAAGAAUACUGUGGAGAGAGAGGUAAAGAAUCAGGAUGGAAACAGAAAAUAGGCCGAACAAUGGCCAAGCGUCAAAAUCCUACGUCAGGACAGUGCUAGGACUGCUUUUUUCUAUAUCAGACACGUGGGCUCCUGCUGUGUCUUCCUGGAAAGCAGAGGCCAAGGAUGGAGCAGACCAAGAGGAUGCCAGGAAAAAUCACAAAGAAGCCCAGAAAGCACAGCUGGAAGCCAAGAACCCUGUUUUUGGUUUGUGUGGGUGGAAGGUGAGGGACAACAUAUAGUGACCAACAGGAUUCUUCAUUUGAAAGAGAAUGGAGUACAUCAGACCUGUGUAUUUAGGUGAAGUAUGAUAA